This 589-nucleotide long non-coding RNA is filed under the name Nicotiana tabacum (common tobacco). RNAcentral's name for it is "long non-coding RNA (NTAB_LNC017094)". Lineage: Eukaryota; Viridiplantae; Streptophyta; Magnoliopsida; Solanales; Solanaceae. The record is from RNAcentral.
UCUCAUCUCAACAUAGCAGUAUGUUGUAUAAUCAGGGGUUUCAAACCCUCAGUGCAUCAUUUAAAAUCAUUACUCACCUCGAACCGGUGAAAUCUAUAGCUUGCAACGCCUUUGCCCCUCAAAUCGGCCUCCACGCGCGUUGAAUCUAACCAAAAUCAGAGCGAAUACAUCACAAUAUGCUAAGGGAACAAUACCCAAUCGAAAAUACUCGAAAAACGCUAAAAAUUACGAAGUUGGCAAAACCCGAGCCCCGGGCUCACUUCUCGAAAAAUUACGAAAGUCACAUCACCGGAUUCCUCGUCUCGCCACGAGUCCGUACAUAUAAAAUUUACCAAAAUCGGAGUUUAAAUGACCCCUCAAAUCUUCAAAUCUUAUUUUCAAAUCCCUAGGUCCAAAAUCCCCAAUUUACACCUCAAAAACAUGUAAUCUAGUCGGAUUAUUCGAAGAUAAUUCAAUAUUAUGGAGUAGAAAUAAUCACAAGUGACUUACCUCAAGAUUUCUCAUGAUUUCUUGCUCAAAAAUCGCCCCAAACCGUGUUAUUUCGCAAGAAAAUAGGUAAAAAAAAAUGAGCAGAAACGCAGCAGCUUUU